UGGUUCUGGCAUNGAUGAAGAACGCAGCGAAAUGCGAUAAGUAAUGUGAAUUGCAGAAUUCAGUGAAUCAUCGAAUCUUUGAACGCACAUUGCGCCCAUUAGUAUUCUAGUGGGCAUGCCUGUUCGAGCGUCAUUUCAACCCUUAAGCCCUCGUUGCUUAGCGUUGGGAGCCUACAAGCACUGUAGCUCCCCAAAGUUAGUGGCGGAGUCGGUUCACACCCCAGACGUAGUAAGAUUUCACCUCGCCUGUAGUUGGACCGGUCCCCUGCCGUAAAACACAUAAUUUUCUCAAGGUUGACCUCGGAUCAGGUAGGAAUACCCGCUGA
RNAcentral lists this unclassified non-coding RNA (326 nucleotides) under uncultured fungus. RNAcentral describes it as "partial contains 5.8S ribosomal RNA and internal transcribed spacer 2". The stretch from base 1 to 133 matches the Rfam family "5.8S ribosomal RNA", at positions 22 to 154 of the family's 154-position model. Lineage: Eukaryota; Fungi. The record is from RNAcentral.